This 256-nucleotide ribosomal RNA is filed under the name uncultured bacterium. Its description in RNAcentral is "partial 16S ribosomal RNA". It matches the Rfam family "Bacterial small subunit ribosomal RNA", at positions 526 to 779 of the family's 1533-position model. The record is from RNAcentral.
CGAAGGGCGUAGCGUUGCUCGGAAUCACUGGGCGGUAAAGGGACGGCGUAGGCGGCCAUUCAAGUCGGGGUGGAAAGCCUGUGGCUCAACCACAGAAUUGCCUUCGAUACUGUUUGGCUUGAGACCGGAAGAGGUAAGUGGAACUGCGAGUGUAGAGGUGAAAUUCGUAGAUAUUCGCAAGAACACCAGUGGCGAAGGCGGCUUACUGGUCCGGUUCUGACGCUGAGGCGCGAAAGCGUGGGGAGCAAACAGGAUU